UACGAGGGGGGCUAGCGUUGUUCGGAGUUACUGGGCGUAAAGGGCGCGUAGGCGGCGCACCAAGUCAGGCGUGAAAGCCCUGGGCUCAACCCGGGAAUUGCGCUUGAGACUGGUGUGCUUGAGUACGGGAGAGGAUAGUGGAAUUCCCAGUGUAGAGGUGAAAUUCGUAGAUAUUGGGAAGAACACCGGUGGCGAAGGCGGCUAUCUGGACCGUAACUGACGCUGAGGCGCGAAAGCGUGGGGAGCAAACAGG
Molecule: ribosomal RNA, 253 nt
Filed under: uncultured bacterium
Lineage: Bacteria
Description: partial 16S ribosomal RNA
Rfam family: Bacterial small subunit ribosomal RNA
Source: RNAcentral